Molecule: ribosomal RNA, 465 nt
Filed under: uncultured bacterium
Lineage: Bacteria
Description: partial 16S ribosomal RNA
Rfam family: Bacterial small subunit ribosomal RNA
Source: RNAcentral
CCUACGUGAGGCAGCAGUGGGGAAUAUUGCGCAAUGGGCGAAAGCCUGACGCAGCGACGCCGCGUGAGGGAUGAAGGUCUUCGGAUCGUAAACCUCUGUCAGCAGGGAAGAACGGUCACUGUGCUAAUCAGCAGUGAAUUGACGGUACCUGCAAAGGAAGCACCGGCUAACUCCGUGCCAGCAGCCGCGGUAAUACGGAGGGUGUGAGCGUUAAUCGGAAUUACUGGGCGUAAAGCGCUCGUAGGCGGUAUGUCAAGUCAAGGGUGAAAUCCCCGCGCUCAACGUGGGAACUGCCUUUGAAACUGGCAAACUGGAGUGUGUGAGAGGAUAGUGGAAUUCCAGGUGUAGGAGUGAAAUCCGUAGAGAUCUGGAGGAACAUCAGUGGCGAAGGCGACUAUCUGGCACAUAACUGACGCUGAGGAGCGAAAGCGUGGGUAGCAAACAGGAUUAGAUACCCCUGUAGUC